This 53-nucleotide transfer RNA is filed under the name Nocomis leptocephalus (bluehead chub). Its description in RNAcentral is "tRNA-Val". The record is from RNAcentral. Lineage: Eukaryota; Metazoa; Chordata; Actinopteri; Cypriniformes; Leuciscidae. RNAcentral also lists the same sequence under 4 other names.
UCAGGGCGUGGCUGAGUUAGCCAAGCAUCUCACUUACACCGAGAAGACAUCCA